AAACAUAAGAGUGCGGGUGGGUGUUUUUCCUGCCACACAUUCUAAUAUGUGGUAAAAGUCCGUGGUCUUAUCAAGUGUCAAGGCUUUCUCACAUUUACCUACCUGGUAGAUUGGUAAUCUGCCUGAGUACUUAAUGGAAGGCAAACCAGACAAGUGUUCUUACAAUUAAUGCAGUUGUUAGUUUGGUUAAAAGUGGAGGGUGAGGUGAUUCUUCUUUAACAUUAAAACAGGCUUGGGAAACCUCUGGCCCACCCAGUACUGUUGGACUACAACUCCCUUCAUCCCCAUCCAGCAUGACCAGUUCUUUGGGGUGAUGGAAGUUGUAGUCCAACAACAGCUGGAGGACCAUGGGUUCCCUAGCCCUGAACUAAACCUGGGUAUUGGAGUGAAGCCCAACCCCUUUAGUCUACUGCCUUAAGAUAUUAAUCUCAAGCCCAUCUAUUAUACUAGAAGUAGACCAGUAGAAUGGGAGUGAAAAUAUUCUUUAAGAAGCGGAGACAGUUAAGGCAUGAAGCAGGUUUUGGUCUUUCUGUUAGUCAACUUUAACCGCUAUACCUGUGCUGUAUAGCCCAAUGGAUGAGAGUGUGCCUGGUAAACAUCUCUGUCUCUGGUUUGGAUACCUUUCCUUAAGGAAAGGUUACAGGUUUUUUGUUUCAUUUCUAAGGAAUGAUUUAUCCCUACUUGCUUCAUCAUGGUUUGUAAAAAUCCUGGUUUUUGUGGUUCGAAAGGUAAACAUAUUUGCCAUAGUCCUAUCUCUGAAGCUUUGGUUCUGUAUGCAUGUAUUCUCAAUCAUAGGGGUGAGUGGAGUAUGCAUAUAUACCCCAUUCAAACAUAUGGUUAAUCCUGGUUUUAAGGUAUAAAGUAGGGACAUUGUGUGGUAAAUUACUUCAAACACUUGGGGUACAGGCCCACUGUACAAAUGCCCAUUAAAACUUGCAUGUGCUAGUUUAUAUUUAUAGAUGCACAUUUAGGCUGACUGUCAUAGGGCAAAAUUUACUCUGGCUGUCAGGACUUAUUCUGAGAUAUGGCGACCAACAAGAUUUUCUGGUUUGAGUGCACUGUGUCAUACCAUCUAACAUUUUCCAAUGCCAUGUGCCUUCCAAGAUGUGCUCCUGGGCAAGUAACAUGACCUGGGCCACGUUUUGCUCCCCCCCCCCCCCCGCUUUUUCAGGGUGUGAGAGUGCUGCACUUAUAGUUGCUAUCUAGAUUUCACCUGGAAAUACGGGAUGUCCCAUUUUUUCUGGGGCACUUGGAAGGUAUGCUGUGUGUUGAGUGGACCCUCUACCCCCACCCCACAUAACCUGUUCAGAAAAUCUUCUUAUGUACAUAUUAAAACUACUAGUAGCUGAACCCCUUCUCGCCAAUCCCUCCAGACCUCACCAGCUCCCUGCCGCUCCCCUUAGACUUUGCCAAGCACCUUACAGCUGACCCAAACUCCCACCCUGCCCCUAGGCCUCCUCCCACCUCUCUACACAUAGUACCAGCCUCACACAGAGGUGGGCAGCAGCAGUGGCAGCAGAGCAGGCUGGUUGCUGGAGAACUGCCUGGGCACGUCCUGACUGUUUCUCUGCAGCUUGCCUUGGCCUCUGGGCAAAUUAGGGUGCAUACACAACAUACAUUUAAAGCAUACAUCCCCGCCCUCCCAAAAAAGAAUCCUAGGUGAACUGUAGUUCACCCCUCACAGAGCUUACCAAGCUGCAGUGGCCUAGAGUUUUUGAGAAGGAUAGGGUUCAAAUGUGUUUUAAAUGUGUAUACACAGCCUAGGGUGUGUGAUAGCUAAAGUCUCACAUGCAUCUCACUUUGUAGCACUCCCAAUUGCCCUAUAUUUUUUAAAAAAAGAUAAAGGAAGUUAAAAAGAGGGAGAAGGCAAUCUGAGGCCUGGCACAAAAGGCCUGGGCCUUAGGCCUUGUGGGCUUAACAUCCCAACAGUGCCCUGGGUGUAAAAUGAACGUUUCCUUUUUAAAAACUGUAAUUGCAAAGCACACAUGUGCAAAGCGUGCACAUUUUGUAAUUUGUCAUGAGCUGCCAAGAUGACAGAGGGGAGGAAGAGGAUCCCGGUCAGGGGUGUAGCCGAGACUGGGCAAGCAGGGGAUGGGGAAGGAAGUACUCACAGGGUGACGGAGGAUGAUGAGGGGAUGGAGGUCAGUGCGCACAAACCAGAGCAGCAGCACCUAUCACCAGAGCCAGAGGGGCCCCAGUCCCCACAAACACAGUGGGCCCUGAGGUAUGAGGAGCAGUGGGAGUGGUUCUCUAGGAGGUUGAGGCAAGCAAGGGCCCACAGCCCAGUUCCCUAGUUCUGGGAAGAGGGAUUUGAUUCCUCAGCUGGAGCAGGACUGGAACAGGUGAGGGUCACCUGCCUCGUCAAGCCCAGAUGCUGCAAUCAGCAAAGUACAAAAGGGGAGCAGAGCUGAAGGGCUGUGUCUGCUCAGCUGCCCAUGUUGAUAGCCCUUGGCUUGGGUGUUCUUGGACCUCUACAGGGCUGUGCUUUGGGAUUGACUCUAUCCUGACUGCUGGACUUUGGAAUUGGCUUGACCCUGAAGUGUGUUUCCUGACUGUUGGACUUUGCUUGUGCGGAUUGACCCUUGGACUUUGAACGUUGGGGUUGGCAUACUGACUUGCUGCCAGGUAGGCCAGGGGUUCUGGAUAUAAUUGCACCCAAAAAAAAGAUAAAGACAACCCUAAAACAAUAACUUUGCACCUCAAACCCCAAUUGACUUACCUUCUUAACAGCAACCAAUAUAUGUGUAAAGUUUAAAUUCCAUUGUUACCAAAUUGUGCGUUGGAAGAGAAAGAGGUGAGCCCAUUCAAUUAGUCAGGAGAGACAUAAUGGAAGAAACCAGGAAGCAUGUUAAACAAAACAAAACAGCAGGGCCUACUAAAUACUGGCAAGGUCACCAUGGUAGGAGUAAUUUGUGUUUGUGUGGGUGUACAGGGAAUCAACUGACAGUUAAUGCAGUAACACUCACUGUGUGUCACUGCAAUAACACCUGGAGCAGAAGUGAACACAGCACCUAUCUGUUUAAGAGCUCCACUCUGUUUAUAUUAUCCUCUCCCUCACACAUAGAAGUGAAGUGAGCAAGUGAGGCUGGGAGAAGAAAACAAAUGAUGCUAAAUGGGUGCAAUCUCCAUGUGUAAUAUUUCUACUCCUGAGUCCUACUUCAGGGUCAAACUUACAAGAUAAACUAAUGGAAGAUAAAUGACUGGAGUUGUUGCACCACUUGUAUUAAUACAUCAGUUUGUAAAGGGCCAGGAAACAGAGAAUUGAAGUGAGUGGGGAAAGGCAACUCUGAAGCCACCUACUUGAGAUCACUUCACUUGGAUUAGAUGGCUCUUAGACCACUUUAACCGCCAUGCCUUCCUCAAAAAGUGAG
Podarcis lilfordi (Lilford's wall lizard) is the source of this 3371-nucleotide non-coding RNA. NCBI's taxonomy places the organism in Eukaryota, Metazoa, Chordata, Lepidosauria, Squamata, Lacertidae. The record is from the annotation of a GenBank genome assembly.